AUGAACGCUAGCUACAGGCUUAACACAUGCAAGUCGAGGGGAAACGACAUCGAAAGCUUGCUUUCGAUGGGCGUCGACCGGCGCACGGGUGAGUAACGCGUAUCCAACCUGCCCAUCACUUGGGGAUAACCUUGCGAAAGUAAGACUAAUACCCAAUGACGUCUCUAGAAGACAUCUGAAGGAGAUUAAAGAUUUAUCGGUGAUGGAUGGGGAUGCGUCUGAUUAGCUUGUUGGCGGGGUAACGGCCCACCAAGGCGACGAUCAGUAGGGGUUCUGAGAGGAAGGUCCCCCACAUUGGAACUGAGACACGGUCCAAACUCCUACGGGAGGCAGCAGUGAGGAAUAUUGGUCAAUGGGCGAGAGCCUGAACCAGCCAAGUAGCGUGCAGGAUGACGGCCCUAUGGGUUGUAAACUGCUUUUAUAAGGGAAUAAAGUGAGCCUCGUGAGGCUUUUUGCAUGUACCUUAUGAAUAAGGACCGGCUAAUUCCGUGCCAGCAGCCGCGGUAAUACGGAAGGUCCGGGCGUUAUCCGGAUUUAUUGGGUUUAAAGGGAGCGUAGGCCGGAGAUUAAGCGUGUUGUGAAAUGUAGACGCUCAACGUCUGCACUGCAGCGCGAACUGGUUUCCUUGAGUACGCACAAAGUGGGCGGAAUUCGUGGUGUAGCGGUGAAAUGCUUAGAUAUCACGAAGAACUCCGAUUGCGAAGGCAGCUCACUGGAGCGCAACUGACGCUGAAGCUCGAAAGUGCGGGUAUCGAACAGGAUUAGAUACCCUGGUAGUCCGCACGGUAAACGAUGGAUGCCCGCUGUUGGUCUGAAUAGGUCAGCGGCCAAGCGAAAACAUUAAGCAACUCA
Molecule: ribosomal RNA, 852 nt
Filed under: uncultured bacterium
Lineage: Bacteria
Description: bacterial SSU rRNA
Rfam family: Bacterial small subunit ribosomal RNA
Source: RNAcentral